GAUGAACGCUGGCGGCGUGCCUAAUACAUGCAAGUCGAGCGAACGGACGAGAAGCUUGCUUCUCUGAUGUUAGCGGCGGACGGGUGAGUAACACGUGGAUAACCUACCUAUAAGACUGGGAUAACUUCGGGAAACCGGAGCUAAUACCGGAUAAUAUUUUGAACCGCAUGGUUCAAAAGUGAAAGACGGUCUUGCUGUCACUUAUAGAUGGAUCCGCGCUGCAUUAGCUAGUUGGUAAGGUAACGGCUUACCAAGGCAACGAUGCAUAGCCGACCUGAGAGGGUGAUCGGCCACACUGGAACUGAGCCACGGUCCAGACUCCUACGGGAGGCAGCAGUAGGGAAUCUUCCGCAAUGGGCGAAAGCCUGACGGAGCAACGCCGCGUGAGUGAUGAAGGUCUUCGGAUCUUAAAACUCUGUUAUUAGGGAAGAACAUAUGUGUAAGUAACUGUGCACAUCUUGACGGUACCUAAUCAGAAAGCCACGGCUAACUACGUG
This 497-nucleotide ribosomal RNA is filed under the name uncultured bacterium. Its description in RNAcentral is "partial 16S ribosomal RNA". It matches the Rfam family "Bacterial small subunit ribosomal RNA", at positions 28 to 507 of the family's 1533-position model. The record is from RNAcentral.